CCUACGGGAGGCAGCAGUGGGGAAUUUUCCGCAAUGGGCGCAAGCCUGACGGAGCAAGACCGCGUGAGGGAAGAAGGUCUGUGGAUUGUAAACCUCUUUUGAUAGGGAAGAAGACAGUGACGGUACCUAUCGAAUCAGCCUCGGCUAACUCCGUGCCAGCAGCCGCGGUAAUACGGAGGAGGCAAGCGUUAUCCGGAAUUAUUGGGCGUAAAGAGUCCGUAGGUGGGUAACCAAGUCAGCUGUUAAAUAGUGAAGCUUAACUUCAUAGAGGCGGCUGAAACUGGUUGUCUAGAGAGUGGUAGGGGUAGAGGGAAUUUCCAGUGUAGCGGUGAAAUGCGUAGAUAUUGGAAAGAACACCGGUGGCGAAAGCGCUCUACUGGGCCACUACUGACACUGAGGGACGAAAGCUAGGGGAGCGAAAGGGAUUAGAUACCCCUGUAGUCCUAGCCGUAAACGAUGGAUACUAGGCGUUGCCCGUAUCGACCCGGGCAGUGUCGUAGCCAACGCGUUAAGUAUCCCGCCUGGGGAGUACGCUCGCAAGAGUGAACUCAAAGGAAUUGACGG
RNAcentral lists this ribosomal RNA (564 nucleotides) under uncultured bacterium. RNAcentral's name for it is "bacterial SSU rRNA". It matches the Rfam family "Bacterial small subunit ribosomal RNA", at positions 338 to 916 of the family's 1533-position model. The record is from RNAcentral.